GCUUUUCGGUCUCCAGGCUCCCCCCGGCAGUUUUUAUGGAGCGACUCAACCCCAAACACAUGAUGUCAUCGUGCGGGGAGAAAAAGAACGCCCAGCCUACCGAAGGGCUGGGGCCGCAGGUCCGAGGCUGCUUGUUCUCACUCCAUGAGGAGGGACCCAGCUAGAGGAAGACCUGAGUAGAGGAUCCUAUAAAGCAGAGGAAACAAGACAAGGCCAUCAAUUGCCCUGAUCUAAGGGCGAUGCAGCCUCUGUGUUUAUUCCUGCCUGUCAAUGCCAUAUCAGCUGGGAAGUUCAGGGCAGAAGAUUUGCUUACCCUGGGCCCAGAGUUCAUCCUUGGGUCAGUAAAGGAUCUCAAAGUGGAAUUCAGAAGACCCAAUGCCUUCUCCACUUUAAAAAAAAAAAGAAAAGAAAAAACUUUCCUCUAAUACUAAAACCUUGUCUGUUAUAUGUUUUGUUCAAGAAAAAAAAAAGUUACCCUAAGACUGGAAUGCCUCCAUUUUUACUCCAUAG
Long non-coding RNA from Ictidomys tridecemlineatus (thirteen-lined ground squirrel), 510 nucleotides. RefSeq lists it as uncharacterized. NCBI's taxonomy places the organism in Eukaryota, Metazoa, Chordata, Mammalia, Rodentia, Sciuridae. The record is from RefSeq and is a predicted model, not a curated record.